ACGAAGGGUGCAAGCGUUGCUCGGAAUUAUUGGGCGUAAAGGGUAGGUAGGUGGUAAUAAAAGUCUGGGGUGAAAUCCCUGAGCUCAACUCAGGACGUGCCUUGGAAACUUUAUUACUAGAGUGCUGGAGAGGUCCGCAGAAUUCCCGGUGUAGCGGUGAAAUGCGUAGAGAUCGGGAGGAAUACCAGAGGCGAAGGCGGCGGACUGGACCUGACCUGACGCUGAGGCGCGAAGGCGUGGGGAGCGAACGGGA
This 253-nucleotide ribosomal RNA is filed under the name uncultured prokaryote. RNAcentral's name for it is "partial 16S ribosomal RNA". It matches the Rfam family "Bacterial small subunit ribosomal RNA", at positions 525 to 777 of the family's 1533-position model. The record is from RNAcentral.